UACGUAGGGUGCGAGCGUUGUCCGGAAUUAUUGGGCGUAAAGGGCUCGUAGGCGGUUUGUCGCGUCGGGAGUGAAAAUCCAGGGCUUAACCCUGGGCUGGCUUCCGAUACGGGCAGACUAGAGGUAUGCAGGGGAGAACGGAAUUCCUGGUGUAGCGGUGAAAUGCGCAGAUAUCAGGAGGAACACCGGUGGCGAAGGCGGUUCUCUGGGCAUUACCUGACGCUGAGGAGCGAAAGCGUGGGGAGCAAACAGG
This 253-nucleotide ribosomal RNA is filed under the name uncultured bacterium. Its description in RNAcentral is "partial 16S ribosomal RNA". It matches the Rfam family "Bacterial small subunit ribosomal RNA", at positions 524 to 776 of the family's 1533-position model. The record is from RNAcentral.